Molecule: ribosomal RNA, 253 nt
Filed under: uncultured bacterium
Lineage: Bacteria
Description: partial 16S ribosomal RNA
Rfam family: Bacterial small subunit ribosomal RNA
Source: RNAcentral
UACAGAGGGUGCGAGCGUUAAUCGGAAUUACUGGGCGUAAAGAGCGCGCAGGCGGUCGGAUAAGUCGAAUGUGAAAGCCCCCGGCUCAACUGGGGAGGGUCAUUCGAUACUGUUCGACUCGAAGGCAGGAGAGGGAAGUGGAAUUCCCGGUGUAGUGGUGAAAUGCGUAGAUAUCGGGAGGAACACCAGUGGCGAAGGCGACUUCCUGGCCUGUUCUUGACGCUGAGGCGCGAAAGCUAGGGGAGCAAACGGG